UCAGCAGCCGCGGUAAUACGGAGGAUGCGAGUGUUAUCCGGAUUCAUUGGGUUUAAAGGGUGCGUAGGCGGAAUAUUAAGUCAGCGAUGAAAUCCUGCAGCUUAACUGUAGAACUGUCAUUGAUACUGGUAUUCUUGAAUGCAGUUGAGGUAGGCGGAAUGUGUAAUGUAGCGGUGAAAUGCUUAGAUAUUACACAGAACACCGAUUGCGAAGGCAGCUUACUAAACUGUGAUUGACGCUGAGGCACGAAAGCGUGGGGAGCAAACAGGAUUAGAUACCCUGGUAGUCCACGCCGUAAACUAUGAUUACUCGCUGUUGGCGAUACACUGUCAGCGGCUGAGCGAAAGCAUUAAGUAAUCCACCUGGGGAGUACGAUCGCAAGGUUGAAACUCAAAGGAAUUGACGGGGGCCCGCACA
Molecule: ribosomal RNA, 417 nt
Filed under: uncultured bacterium
Lineage: Bacteria
Description: bacterial SSU rRNA
Rfam family: Bacterial small subunit ribosomal RNA
Source: RNAcentral